Molecule: ribosomal RNA, 198 nt
Filed under: uncultured bacterium
Lineage: Bacteria
Description: partial 16S ribosomal RNA
Rfam family: Bacterial small subunit ribosomal RNA
Source: RNAcentral
CUGAAAUUACGCCUGCAUGAAGCCGGAAUUGCUAGUAAUGGCAGGUCAGCAUACUGCCGUGAAUACGUUCCCGGGCCUUGUACACACCGCCCGUCACACCAUGAGAGUUGGGGAUACCCAAAGCCCGUGAGCCAACAUUAAAUGAGGCAGCGGUCUAAGGUAGAAUCAAUGAUUGGGGUGAAGUCGUAACAAGGUAAC